Molecule: long non-coding RNA, 175 nt
Organism: Neomonachus schauinslandi (Hawaiian monk seal)
Lineage: Eukaryota; Metazoa; Chordata; Mammalia; Carnivora; Phocidae
Exons: 3
Source: RefSeq, a predicted model, not a curated record
UCAGAAAGGACCACAUAUAUUAAAUGAACAAGUAGAAGAUCCUCCGAAAAGAUAUCCUUACGUGAAGCCUACCGUUGAAAUGAAAGAUUCUGUUCCUAAUAAAACAGUGGAAGUGAAGGAUAAACAAACAUCCAACUCAGGUAAAUUUUACAAUACAGAUUUAACAGUGGAAAGA